AUGGUGCUGGCGAAGAAUGCUGGAUAUACUAUGAUCUUCCAGAUGGAUGCACUAAUAUGUCUUGGAAGAACCAGCUGGGACCUUACUCUUGGAUGCCCUAAGGUCCCCUUGGCUGCUCCAGCACAGGGCUUCCUGAAGCUCUACACCUCCUACAUCUACCUGUCCAUGUCUUACUACUUCAAUCGCCACGAUGUGGCUUUGAAGAAUUUUGCCAAAUAUUAUCUGCAUCAGUCUCAUAAGGAGUGGGAACAUGCUGAGAAACUGAUGAAGCUGCAGAACCAAUGAGGUGGUCAAACCUUCCUGCAGGAUAUCAAGAAACCAGAACGGGAGGACUGGGAGAGCGGGCUGAAAGCAAUGGAGUGUGCGCUGCAAUUGGAAAAAAACGCGAAUCAGUCGCUACUGGAGCUGCACAAACUGGCCACUGACAAGAACGACCCCCACUUGUGUGACUUCAUUGAAACGCGUUACCUGAAUGAGCAGGUGAAAUCCAUCAAAGAAUUGGGUGACUAUGUAACUAAUUUGCGCAAGAUGGGGCCCCGGCUUCUGGCCUGGCAGAAUAUCUCUUUGACAAGCACACCCUGGGAGACAGCGAUGCAGAGAGCUGA
This is an RNA transcript of Chrysochloris asiatica (Cape golden mole), 605 nucleotides long. It is a transcript of the gene named ferritin heavy chain-like, with no coding region annotated. The transcript has 2 exons. The record is from RefSeq and is a predicted model, not a curated record. NCBI's taxonomy places the organism in Eukaryota, Metazoa, Chordata, Mammalia, Afrosoricida, Chrysochloridae.